Molecule: long non-coding RNA, 10121 nt
Filed under: Triticum aestivum (bread wheat)
Lineage: Eukaryota; Viridiplantae; Streptophyta; Magnoliopsida; Poales; Poaceae
Description: long non-coding RNA (TAES_LNC012336)
Source: RNAcentral
AAAUUUCAGGCGCUCGAUAUGUCCUUUUUUAGCGAAGGUCAUGCCGGAUUUUUUUUUGGUUUUGCCAUCGAGUUAUAAUCUUUGAAUUUUGAACACAGGAGAUGUGUGAUGAUGAUGGGAUCCCGGAGUGCGGGUACUUCUACGAUGACCGUGGUGUGUGCGACAGGUUUCCUCACCUACAAAAUGAUAGGUUUUUCACCGUGAAGCUGGAAGAGACCUUCGAUGUUUGUACAGUACACAACGACAAGCAUUUCAUCGUAAUAAAUAUCAUCACUUGUGCUUCUUUUGUUCAACGUGUAAUUUAUGGAUUUUUUCAAUUCGACUAGUAAAUCACGUGUCAUGCUAGACCAUAUGUAUUGGAGAAGCUUGGUUUUGGUUUAGAUGACUUUGAGAAUGUGGAGACGAGGAGGGCUCACUUAAGAACUAAAUAUGGUUAUGAGUUCCUGGUUAAGUUCUACAAUGCGGUCGAUGGUUCCCAUUUCGUUUGCUCUAAUUGGGAAGCUCUCUGAAUGGCAUAUGGAUUUGAGGAGGGAAUGCGAAUAAGAUUUGAUAUUCGUCCCGAAGAUUAUGAUGAUGAUGAUAAUAUCAACAUUUGUGUGGAUGUGGAUAUGCCUCUAGUUUUACCUACAUGUGAGUUUGUCAAACUAAUUUGUUAACUUUAGUAAUUUAUGUUGUUAACUUAAAAAUAUUUGGUGUUCGUCCGUACUAAACUUAUUUAUUUAUAAUUUUCAGCUUAUUUCUUAUCUUCAAGAAAUACUCGGAAGGUAGUAGACAUCACAUACUACAGCUAUCACUCCAAGCUUAAUUGUGAGGAGAAAGGUUAUCUUGUCUCAUUCAUAGAAGAUGUUGAGGCCUUCAAAAUCAGUCACUCUAUCAACCCAAAUUAUACUAGAUACGUGCCACUAGUCCAUAAAUUGCUUGAUGGUAACUUCAUUGCCAAAAACUUGGUAAGAUUUUGUUAAUGAUGGUAACUUCAUUGCAUAUAUUAUUCUUAAGUAAACUACAUUGCUAACUAUAUAUGUUACUAUUUCAUUUUUGAACAGAGGCUCCCGAAGCAAGUUCUGCCUGACAUGCUAUGUACCGAAGGUGAUAUGCAUAUGGUUAGCUUACGACCAACUCCUUCGGAGGCUUACCAUACUUCAUACUCGAUUUAUUCAAAUGAUGGAAGGCUCAAAAUCAAAUAAUGGAGCAAGGUGAUGAAUGCGCACAUGCAAAUAAUUGGAUACAAAAUGAAUGUGUGCAAGCCACAAGUUGAAUAUAGGUUUAUGUCCAUUCUCCAUUAUGGUGAAGGACCGAUUUAUCUGUUUUAUGGUAUUUUAGCUAGGAGAGAGGAGUAGGUCCUAAGUAUUAAGAACAAUUAGUUAGUGUUGAUUAUAUAUGACUACAAUGUCUUAGAAUUGAUGGUGAUGCUGAGUAGGAGUAGUGAUUAUGAGUACUAUGAUGAUGAUGAUGAGGAUUUGUUAUUAUAACUAGUGUUGAAGUUGCUAUAUGAUGUCUCAUCAUGGACGAAAAUGAUGAUUAUGAGGAGUUAUAUGACAAUGAUAUAUUAUGAUGAUAAGUUGUUAAUGAUAUUAUGAUGAUGAUGAUAAGUUAUUAUGUCAUUGGGUGAAAGAACCGUGGAUUAGUUUCAAAUGGAUGGAUCGAAAGUGACCAUUGGUUACUUUGGAUCCAUGCACUUGAAACUAAUCCAAAGUUCUUUCACCUAGUGAUUUAAUAACUCAUUAUGAUGUUAAAACAAUCUCUAAAUUGCUACUGUAUGAAAAAUUGUAUACAGGUGUAUGAAUACGACCUAAAAAAUGGAACUAGGAAUAACAGUAGUAGCGAUUGUUCUCGAAAGCGCUACUAGUAAUUAGAAAUAGCGGUUGUUCGGGAAAGCACUACUACUAAGUAGAUAUAGCAGUAGCGCGUGCCAGCAGCCGCUACUGCUAAGCUUUAGCUGUAGCGCCUUAUCAGUUGCGCGCUUGCCCGCGCUACUGAUAGCCCAAAAACCAGCGCUACUGCUAGGCUUUUCCCUAGUAGUGUAUACAUCUGUAUCAUCCUCAAGCUCUUCUGGGGCAUUUAUCAGCUUUGCCCACUCAGCCACAGUUGAUUUUUACCCGGUACCCUCUGUUGUCCACACAAUUUUACCAUUAGGGUAAAGGUGUGUUGUGGAUUAGAACUGCAUGAUCAACUCAUCAUUCCAUUUUGUUAAUUUCUGGCCAACAAAUGCAUCAACUCUUGUUGAUCUAAAGCUCUCAUGGACUCUUGGGAAGUGAUCUUCGUUGCUGUCAAUGUACUCCCAGUCGACCCAUCUCAUGUCACUGACUAUUGGCAUCUUGUCAAGCAGCAUAGUAUCAUAGAAAUCUUGUUGUUCCUUUGUGUGGAACCUGUAGUCAACAAUUGUUCUCCUUCUAAUGGCAUAUGGGUAAUUCUUCCUCCACAGCCUGAGACCUGCAUCCUUCCUGAGCUUCUUGUUUUCAGCAACAGGGUGAGUGUCAUUGUGAUCAGGAAUCUUGGGCUUCAACUUUCUAAGAACUUGCCCUUCUUCUUCUUCCACUUCAAGAACUGGGGCCUUAUUCUUCUCAGCAGCUGGAAUGUUUCUGGUGGAUCUCUUGCGGGCUUGAGCAGUAGCCUUGGGGGAAGAUUUGGGCUUUGAAGGAGCAUCCACUGAUCUGAUUGCAUCCUCCAUCAGUUUCUGAGUCUUGGCAGGAGAUGCAUCUUGCUCUUCAUCUUCAGCCGUGUCUCUCAUCAUUAAAGAUCUCCCAAUGACUCUGGCCAUUGUCUUCUUGACCCUCUCCUUCCUCUUCUUGCCCUCACCAGCCUCUUUGAGUUCAAGAGUGAACACCAUAGUUUCUUGUGUUGAGGCUCUGGAUUUCGACAUGGGAACUCUUUUUGCAGGAGCUUUUGUCUUCAACCCUGGCUUGAGAUUAGCAACAGUGACAGUUUCCUUCUUGUCUCCUUUCCUCUUGGAAGGGACUUCCUCAUCAAUCACAAAAUCUUCAUCCUUAGAAUCAGAUGUCUUCUUAUUCCUCUGCCUAUUGCAGGUUUUGGCAGGUUGCUGGGAGUGCUUCUUCUUCCAUCAUCUUAACUGCCCUCAGAGGGACUAGUGCCCUCACUCAUCUGAACUUGUUCCUCAGACAUAUUCUAGCUGUCACUGUUGUCAUACAUGCUGCAAGCUAAAAGCUGACCCUGUGAAUAGAUAUAGAUGAGAUAGAGUGGAUGAGCAUCACAAAGUGUAGAGAUUUUGCAAAACAAUUGAUCCAAAAACUUAGUUUUAGUUUUCUAUUGAAGUCAUUUCAGAGCUACCGAUUUGCUGAACUCGGUGACACCGAAGCAAUGUUCAAUGUCUAAACUAGUGAACUCGGUGAGACCGAGGCAUAGUUUGGUGACACUGAUAUUGCUAGGGUUUCAUAAAGUUCUGAACUCGGUCACACCGAUUUGCGAGUUACGGUCAGACCAAAAAUCACAAUGCAAUAGCCUAGGCCAAAUCGGUGGGACCGAUUUCUACAACUCGGUCGGUCCGGAUGAGUUCGGCGGACACCUAACCCUAAAUUAUCGAAUCAAAACUAAUCUAAAGGAAGUUUUUGCUAGAUAGAAUAGUUUCAACCUUGGCAAGAAUGACGGCAUUAUCCUUGUGCUAAGAAUCGGAUUGAGAAAGCACAAAGGAUCGAACUCAUACCAUAACUUGGCGGUGAGUUCGCUACGGUGACAACGGUGGAGGAGAUCCCAUUGACGGCGGCGGAGACCAAUGGCAGGAGGACACUGGCGACGGAGGCGACAAUCCGGAGACCUCGAGUCGGCAGAGCUGGACAGCGCGGGUGAAGAGUUUCGGAGGAAUUUCCAAAAAUUCAACCCGUGAGUAUAUAUAUCCAGACCCUAUCGGUGAGACCGAGUGGAACAACUCGGUGGCACCAAGAUGCAGAAUCACAAGCGGUAACUGCAACUCGGUGAGACCGAAGUGUCCAAAUCGGUUGCACUGAGAUUGAAACCUAGAUCAACUUAAUGAACUCGGUGUGACCGAAAGGAAUGAAUCGGUCGGACCGAGAUGCAUCAAGAGGUUUUGGAAGUUUAAGUCUAUGACGAAUCAGUGACUCCGAGUGCUCCUCACCCAGAGGGUUCGAAUCUGACUUGAUCAAACUUUGUGAUGUAGCAUGAAUAGAGUUUGAGACGAGAAAAGCAUAGAUAGCUAGAGAGAGUACUUAGGCAUUCUUGUCCAUCCAUUUGGCAAAAUAAAAGACCAAACAAUCAAAACAACAAAUUGAUGUCCUCGAAUGGAGAAAACUAUGCAACCAACAUGCUCACACCAUAAGAUAGGAAAUGAAAUAUGUGGCAAAGCAUGCACAAACACUCUAGCAUCUAUCAAGCAAUUGAUGAUGACUAGGUCAUCUAUAUAUGCGCGACUUAGGAGUCAAAUGAGAACAUUUGAUCAUAGGUCAUACUCAUCGUUUAAGCACAAGUGGGGUUACCACUUUUACAUAAAGCAUUGUUGUGUUCACACCAUUAGAGUUGCUUUAGCUCAAUUCUUGGAGUAAAGCUCCCCCUAGAUGUGAUAUUCCUUUUCGAGGGAUGAACUAACCUUGGGUUUUGUCGAUGAUGACUUCAUGUAGGUGUUGAAGAUGUGGAUGCUCAAUGUUGAUGUAGAUCAUUUGGAGCAAUCCUUUGGAGUGAGUUGCACUUUCAAUACCUACAUGGGUUAGUCCCACAAGGAACAAGCAAGGAUAUCCAUAGACAUAGAGUGAAGUACACACACAUGAUAAUGUCCACGGAAGCAUUAGGUUACCUUGUCCCUUGACUUACUAUCAAGGGGGUUUGUGACUCCUCAAACUAGUGCAAGAUAUGGAAGUUGAUUGCACUUAUUCUUGCCAAUAUGAAUAUGAGUGAAGCAUGUUGGCGGAGUCACCCUCAAGAACUCUCUAGUUCUUAUUCUUUGAGAUCCACAUCAUAUUGAUGGGAAUCCUUGGGGUUGUAGUUGUACUUGAUGAAGUAGAACUUGAGGUGGACUUGGGAUCCCACUUUACCAAGGCCUUUGGAGCAUCUUCAAAUGCAUAAAUCUCCUCUUGAAGCUUGUCCUUGCCUUUUAGCUUGUGGUCUUGUGGUGGAAGAUCAUCUUGAGCUUGUGUCCCCUUGAAGGAAGUAGGAUCACACUUCUAUUGUUGAGGAACAAACUUUGUCUUGGGAUAUUGAUCUUCUUCCCACUCAACUCCAUUGGCAUUGAACUUUCGUUCAAAACCAACACCUUGAUUCUUCCAGUGCCUUCCUUGCUUGCAUACAAUUUCCUCAAAUUGCUUACUUCCGGCAAGGCUCUUGUACACACCUUUCCCUAUAAUCCCCUUCAAUAAGCUAUUUUCUUGCUCAAGUGUAACUUGGCUAAGAGAAUCAUUAGUGGGAUCAAGAGAACUACUAGAAGCAACAAUAUUGGAUUUAGCAUGAUUAUUGUUACUACUAGAAGAGGAAUCUUUUUUACUCUUGUUGCUAGAUUUUACUUGUGGCAUGUAAGUAGACAAGAGUAAACACUUGGCAAUGUAAGAAGAACUUUUCUUCUGAAGAUCAUCAUUGAUUGCUUUUAAGAAUCCAUGCUCUUGCUCUAAGUUGAGCUUUUCAAAGCGUAGCUUCUCAUGAGUCUUUAAAAGUUCUGGAUGAUCCUCUAAAGUAGUUUCAUGAGCUAGCUUAAGAGUGUUUAGUUAUUUAGUUAGACGCUCAAUCUCCUUCUUGUCAUUGUCAUUCAUUUCAUCUUGAUUAGCAUGAUUAAUAGCAAUUUCAUCAUGCUUUUCAUCACUAGCAUUAUCAACAAGCAAAUCAUCAUCACCUAGCAAAUCAUUUUCAUCACUAUUGAAAUCAAUAUACUUGGGGUGUGAUACCUUAGCGCCUUUAGCCAUGAAGCAUCUUCCAAUUUCUUCAUUUGGUGAGUCAAAUAUGUCGCAGGAGUUGGAUGACACCUUCAUCUUGAGUAUAUUCGAAGUUGGAGUGAUAACUUCUCUCGGAGUGGUUGUCGGAGUCGGAACCGGAUACCCAUUCACCAACAUGAGCUUGAUGUCUUCGUUUUGUGUAGCUCCUUGAUGACUUCUCCUUCCUUUCCAAAUCCUUGCUUCCGCGAGAGGAUCUUCGUUCAUAACGAUCAUCUCUACUCCUUCUCUCUCUUGGAGGUGAUUCUUCUCUUCUACUUCUUCUUUUACGUGAGUCUUUCCUUCUUUUGUAGGGAGCCGUAUACUCAUUGGAGUAGUGUCCGGGUCUUCCACAAUUGUAGCAAAUUCGCUCACGACUAGAAGAUCUUUUGUAAUGGUAGGAUCUUGACUUGGAGCUUCUCUCUUUGCUUCUACUCUUGUAGAAUCUGUUGAAGUUCUUCACCAUUAAGCUCAAUUCCUCAUUGAAGACUUGUUUUUCACUUGAUGUUGCAGGAGCACCACAUGAGGCUUUAUAUGCACCACUAGACUUGUUGUGAAGCUCUUCUUUAUCCUUGAGUGACAUCUCAUGAGCAACAAUUCUUCCAAUGACUUCCUUGGCUUGAGAUCUUUGUAAUUGGGCAUCAUUUGGAUCAAUGUGCACACGGUAUCAUAUUUUCCAUCCAAGGCUCUUAGGAUCUUCUUGAUGAUGAAUCUGUCAGUCAUCUCUUCACUUCCUAAGCCGGCAAUCUCAUUUGUGAUGAGAGCAAGCCUAAAGUACAUAUUAGCGACACCUUCACCAUCCUUCAUUUUGAACUUGUCAAGUUGACUUUGAAGCACAUCCAACUUGGAUUCCUUGACGGACUCGAUACCUUCGUGCAUAUCAAGCAAAGUAUCCCAAAUUUCCUUUGCAUUCUCAAGACGGAUGAUUUUGUUGAAUUCUUCGGGGCACAAUCCAUUGAAGAGGAUAUCGCAAGCUUGAGCGUUGUAUUACAACAUCUUCAACUCUUCCACAGUUGCUUCACGAUUUGGUUCUGUCCCAUCGAAGAAUUCACCUUGCAAACCAAUGCACACAAUAGCCCAAACGGCGGGGUUAUGUCCAAGAAUAUGCAUUUUCAUCUUAUGCUACCAACUAGCAAAAUUAGUACCAUCAAAGUAAGAACCUCUACGAUGGUAAUUUCCCUCGCUAGACGCCAUACUUUCCUAGGUUGUGAAACCAAAGCUAUGAUCACCAAAGCUAUGAAAAUUAAGGCAAAUGGAGACCAAAGCUCUGAUACCACUUGUAGAAUCGAAAGUAUGUCUGGAGGGGGGGGUGAUUAGACUACUUGACCAAAUAAAAAUCUAGCCUUUUCCAAAUUUUAAGUCUUGGCAGAUUUUAGCAACUUAGCACUAGUCAAGCAAACAACCUACACAUGCAAUUCUAAGAGUAUAGCAGCGGAAUGUAAAUCAUUGCAUAUGAAGGUAAAGGGAAGGAGUUUGGAGGGAGCAAACGCAAUGUAAACACGGAGAUUUUUGGCGUCGUUCCGAUAGGUGAUGCUAUCGUACAUCCACGUUGAUGGAGACUUCAACCUACGAAGGGUAACGGUUGCGCGAGUCCACGGAGGGCUUCACCCACGAAGGGUCUACAAAGAAGCAACAUUGUCUAUCCCACCAUGGCCAUCGCCCAUGAAGAACUUGCCUCACUAGGGUAGAUCUUCACAAAGUUGGCGAUCUCCUUGCCCUUACAAAAUCCUCGGUUCAACUCCACAAUCUUGACGGAGGCUCCCAAGUGACAGCUAACCAAUCUAGGAGACACCACCCUCCAAAAGGUAAUAGAUGGUGUGUUGAUGGUGAGCUCCUUGCUCUUAUGCUUCAAAUGAUAGUCUCCCCAACACUGAACUCUCUCUCAUAGAUUUGUCUAUGGUGGAAAGAUGAUUUGAGUGGAAAUCAACUCGGGGAAGGCUAGAGAUCAAGAUUCUUGUGGUUGGAUUGGAAUGUCUUGGUCUCAACACAUGAGUGGUAGUUCUCUCUUAGAAAAUGAGUAGUGGAAGUGUAGGCACGUUCUGAUGGUUCUCUCUCUGAUGAAGAAGGGGGUGGAGGGGUAUAUAUAGCCUCCACACAAAAUCUAUCUGUUACACACAUAUUCCCAAACUCGAUUGGACCGAAUAGUUAAACUCGGUCAGACUGACUUGAUUCAAAAUGUGAACAUUAGGCAUUUCGGUGGGACCGACAACAUCAACUCGGUGAGACAGAUGAGCUAGGGUUAGGGCAAAAUCUCAUCUUGGUGAGACCGAUCACAUGAACUCGGUGAUACCGGUUUCAGUAAUAAGUAAACAGAGACUUGGUCAGGCAAACUCGGUGGGACCGAUCGCUCAUCUCAGUUAGACCGAAAUGUUACGAAAGGGAAAUAGAUAGUUUGCAAUGCCAACCCGGUGGGACCGAUCGCUCACUUCGGUUAGACCGAAACGUUACGAAGGGAAACAGAGAGUUUGUAUUCCCAUCUCGGUGAGACCGAGAUCUCUAUCGAUAAGACCAAACUGAUUAGGGUUUGUGGAUAUGGCUUUGUCAAGUGAACUCGGUGGCGCGGAUAGAUCAAAUCGGGUUUGAAUUUAGGAUUAGGACAUAUGUGCAAAUGAGAAAGUGGUUGAGGGAUUUUGGAGCAUAUCACUAAGCAUUUUGAGCAAGUAAUCCAUUAAGCAACACCUCAUCCCCUUUUAAUAUUAUUGGCUUUUCCUAUGAACUUAAUGUGAUCUUGGAUCACUAAAAUGAAAAUGUAGAGUCUUGACCUUUUGCCAAUAUGUGUCCUUAGCAUUUUGAGGGGUUCACAUCUCUUGUCCAUGUCAUACCAAUCAUUAAAUUUUCUGAAAUAUUGAUCUUGAAAGAGUAUUAGUUCAAUGAGCUAUAUGUUGUUAUGAAUUACCAAAACCACCCGAGGAUUAGUUGCACUUUCCAUGCAGUAAUAAGAGGUCCUUACGCACAGUGGCGACGAUGGGCCGUGCGUCUGUUCCUAUGCAUAGGAAGAGAAGACAUACCCCCGCAUUAAAUGCCUAGGUACUAUUAAUUGUACUUAGGUGUCCUAGUACUAUUCUUUGUCACUGUGGUGACCCAUUCCAUUUUAAAAUGGUGAGUACAUAAUUGAUACACAAAGCAUACAAUAACGCAACGUAUACAGAAAUAACUAAAGUCAGAAUGUGGGUUUAUAAUGUACCCAGAAAUUCUAUUCCCACGCACUUGUUUUACAAAUACUUUACAUACUAUGAGAGGGGAACAACUACCUAGAACAAAACAUGGGAAUGGCCGUCACCGGAUUGAACUUUGUAAGAUUUUUGUAAAACUAUUGCGUAAAAAUAUCAUCGCUCUAAUGUAUCAACCUCCUAACCAUCUAACCAACGGUUGUUUCUCAAUUAUGAAUGUUGUUUAAUAGGGAACCUCUCCUUUUCCUGAAUAUCUAUCCUAGUAGUGGUUUCAAUUUGGACUGCAAGUGUGCGUCGUAGUGCAGAUUCGUGGUGUAUGAUGCAUAGACAAAAUUAGGUGAGGAGGAUGAUUGCUCCAUAAGUGAAUAAAGAAAAUGUUUUCAAAACGCUGAACCGCGACGCCAAGUUCGAUUUGAACCUUGAACUAUUUCAUUGUCCACAUUAAACCUAAAACUUCCUAAAAUCGGUCAACAACAACAAUAUACCCAAGUUUCAAUAGUAUUUUCUGUUGUUAACAGGCUUUGAGAUAGGUUGCCGCCCAUGUUGUUUUGUUGAAUUCGCAAGGUUCACAAUUCUCCAUAAACCCAAUUGUUUGCAAUAUUUUCUGGACUUCGAAAAUGGAAAAGCAACUUAAAAAACAUGCCAAGGUUUGGAGGGUGGUUUCUUUGUUGAAAGGUCCGAAAAAUAUGACAUAAUUUAUGGACGUGGGAAAUGCUAUAGAACCUUUCCAUAGUACUAUUCCUUGCAUCUAUGGCCUUUUCAUAUUUUUGGGGAGGCCAAAAAUACAACAAAACCAUGAGCGCACGUACAGUAGUGGAGAAUGGGGCCGGCUUGAUCUUACAAAACUCGGACGACAUAGCAGUAGAUGAUUAAAAAUCAAAUCUCAUUUGACAUGACAUGAUGUACUGUGCCAUAAAAAUGAGGCUUUGACUCCGUGCACUUAUUUCCCGUACAUCACGACAGAUUUUACCACCGAUAUAUUACCCUAACUCGUACUACAAUGCAUACGCAUACAACUUGGUCGAUCGUACCGACCCAACAUUACAGCGGGAAAGCAUACAAGGAGAGAAAACAAAACGCCACGAUUUUU